This 464-nucleotide ribosomal RNA is filed under the name Vreelandella stevensii. RNAcentral describes it as "partial 16S ribosomal RNA". It matches the Rfam family "Bacterial small subunit ribosomal RNA", at positions 339 to 795 of the family's 1533-position model. The record is from RNAcentral. Lineage: Bacteria; Pseudomonadati; Pseudomonadota; Gammaproteobacteria; Oceanospirillales; Halomonadaceae.
CUACGGGGGGCAGCAGUGGGGAAUAUUGGACAAUGGGCGAAAGCCUGAUCCAGCCAUGCCGCGUGUGUGAAGAAGGCCUUCGGGUUGUAAAGCACUUUCAGUGGGGAAGAAAGCCUUGGGGCUAAUACCCUCGAGGAAGGACAUCACCCACAGAAGAAGCACCGGCUAACUCCGUGCCAGCAGCCGCGGUAAUACGGAGGGUGCGAGCGUUAAUCGGAAUUACUGGGCGUAAAGCGCGCGUAGGCGGUCUGAUAAGCCGGUUGUGAAAGCCCCGGGCUCAACCUGGGAACGGCAUCCGGAACUGUCAGGCUAGAGUGCAGGAGAGGAAGGUAGAAUUCCCGGUGUAGCGGUGAAAUGCGUAGAGAUCGGGAGGAGUACCAGUGGCGAAGGCGGCCUUCUGGACUGACACUGACGCUGAGGUGCGAAAGCGUGGGUAGCAAACAGGAUUAGAUACCCGUGUAGUC